This is a long non-coding RNA of Exaiptasia diaphana, 1146 nucleotides long. RefSeq lists it as uncharacterized. The transcript has 2 exons. NCBI's taxonomy places the organism in Eukaryota, Metazoa, Cnidaria, Anthozoa, Actiniaria, Aiptasiidae. The record is from RefSeq and is a predicted model, not a curated record.
AUUCACUUUUAAGCAUGUUUUUAGCUUUAAACAGUAGGCAGUCUCGAGUGUUUUGUAGUGCUGAGCCAAAGGUAUUUAUAUUUUUUAUUAUUUGAUAUCUAUUUUGUUUUGCAGGUACUUUCGGCGACGCGCGCGCGUUUUUCCCGCCUUUUUUUUCUUUUGCGCUUCACUCUAAAAUUACACCGCUUUCUUUGUUCUUUUAGACGUUUUUUUUUAUAAUUAACUUAUAAUUCCCCGGUUCCUGUUCGUGUCCAGGUAGAUUCUUACUUUACUUGGAUUAAGUUUCUUUUGUCCAGGUUUUCAAGGUGUUUUGAAGCGAUAUCGCUCAACGUGUCAAACGGCCAUCAAAGUCUCACGUGAUCUGAUCUCAUCGCAAGGUAAGCUGUCCCCAUUUUACUAAUCACAACAUGACUUCAUCUCUUCAACACGAAAUGUUUGAAUAAUUCAUUUAUUUUGAAGCAUUUYCAUUGACAAGAUGUGGGAAUUUUACUCUGAAAGAUGCCAUUAYCUAAAACAGUAGCUUUAUUAAGCUAUUGAUAGCGAUCUGUGGUAAACGUGUCAUUUUUUUCAUCGUCAAUCUUCAGUUGUUAAUACAGCACUGCUUACAUUGUAGAUUUCCGUGGUUUGUUGUUUGGUUCUGCGUUUAAUUUCUCGAAAAGAAAAGGCUGGAUUCGAGGUCGACUGUACAGUUAAGUCCAGUAAAGGUACACAGAACAGUCCAGUAAAGGUAAGACUAGGUUUAUAUUCAUAGCUGUUCUUCCGAGAUCAUUGAUUGGUUUGCAAUUAGCUGUAUGUAUAGCCAGAUUAUUAGAAAAUAUGUGAAUGCUACCGCGGCUGUGCAUCAUUAAAGAAUUAUUUCCAACAUUGAGAAUUAACAAGCAUCCUUUACGAGCUUUUUAUGCUGAAAAUAAAAAUAUAUCGUAAUAUAAGCGAAAACGUACUCUUUAUUUUCCCCGUCUUUAUUCUCUAUAAAUGGAGACAAAAUUUGAUCUUUAAACCGACGGAUGGAAACGAUUUGCGAAUGGAUAUUUCAGAAUGCACCUUAUUUUACAUUUAUGAAAAAUUUAAAACACGACCGCAUUGAAUGCUGGUUGAAAAUAGCACUUGAAGAUACGCAAAAAGAUAUUAUGAAAAAAAAAAAAAAAA